Long non-coding RNA from Zea mays, 1011 nucleotides. RefSeq lists it as uncharacterized. The transcript is spliced from 2 exons. The record is from RefSeq and is a predicted model, not a curated record. Lineage: Eukaryota; Viridiplantae; Streptophyta; Magnoliopsida; Poales; Poaceae.
CCAUGUCGUCGGGGCCUUCCCCUUCCCUGCUGCGGGCGCCCCAUGACCGCGCUGACUCCGUGGGGGUGGUUACAACCGCCUCCCAUGUCUUUCUUCCCAGCUCGGCAUCCGGGACCCAACUCGCUCUGGGCUACAUAAGGACAGGCGUGCCGCUCCUCCCUCCGUUUGCAACUGCCCCUAGGAUCGCGUUGUAGACCACCGCCGGUGCGAGUUGAAGAAUCAAGAGAGAGAGAGGUAACCCGCGACUGCUGCCGUCACCUCGCCCGCGGCGUGCUUGAGUCGGAAAGUGGAUGAGGGCAAUCCCAAGGCUCGGUGAAGCCGUUCAUGGCCAACGAGCGUAUCGAGGUCUCCGGCGAUAGUCCGUCCAUCAUCGGGGCUUGUGUCUCGUGUCAGACUGCGCGGUGACAUGACCAGCUUCGUCCUCGUCGUCUCAGCACAGGUGGAAAACUCUGAGCAGGAGCUCGUUGAAGGCAAGUUGUGCCCUUGAUCACUGUUGGGGGCCUUACUCUUUCGAAGGUCCUCAAAAACAUGACUAACCAUUUGUUUCUAGCAUACUACUAAAUAUUACAUGAGCUUCGUCAUAAGAAAAGCUUCGUGGUGAGGAUCUUCUUCCCCGCCGAAGAUCCUCGAGACGAAGACAUUGUCUGAAAGCGAUAACGACGAAUACCGAAGCUACAACCGAAGGAUGACGACUUCGUCUUGAGGGGGCAACGAAGGUCAAACAUGAUGCCGAGCCAAAGAGGGAAAGACUAGCUAAUCACCGAUGAUUUAUGUCGCGAUUAUGGCUGUAUGUUAAGGUCAUAAAUGUAUUUUUACUCAGGUUGCGUCCCGUGCCUAUAAAUCAGUGAAUAGUACCCCCGUACUGUUCACGCUGGAUUGUAAUCACUCUCGCGUCAACAUCUUCAAUCAGGCUGAAGGUUUAAAGUUGAUAUAAAUUCUGUUAAUGUUCAUUUGUAUAUCAUGAAAUAAUAUAUGGAUGAAUGAAUGAAUAACGUAUAUUGUCUUUAUGAA